This is a long non-coding RNA of Eptesicus fuscus (big brown bat), 100 nucleotides long. RefSeq lists it as uncharacterized. NCBI's taxonomy places the organism in Eukaryota, Metazoa, Chordata, Mammalia, Chiroptera, Vespertilionidae. The record is from RefSeq and is a predicted model, not a curated record. The transcript is spliced from 3 exons.
GAGGGAACACGGACAAAAGGGUAUGCCAUGAUGCCAGGAACACAUGAGUCAUGGAACACAGGAGUUGGCAAAAGGGAGAGUGGUAGAGCAAAGGAAGAAC